GCGUGAGUGAUGAAGGCCCUAGGGUUGUAAAUCCCUUUCAGCGGGGAAGAUAAUGACGGUACCCGCAGAAGAAGCCCCGGCUAACUCCGUGCCAGCAGCCGCGGUAAUACGGAGGGGGCUAGCGUUGUUCGGAAUUACUGGGCGUAAAGCGCACGUAGGCGGACUGUUUAGUCAGAGGUGAAAUCCCGGGGCUCAACCUCGGAAUUGCCUUUGAUACUGACAGUCUUGAGUCCGAGAGAGGUGAGUGGAAUUCCGAGUGUAGAGGUGAAAUUCGU
Molecule: ribosomal RNA, 275 nt
Filed under: uncultured bacterium
Lineage: Bacteria
Description: partial 16S ribosomal RNA
Rfam family: Bacterial small subunit ribosomal RNA
Source: RNAcentral